This 468-nucleotide ribosomal RNA is filed under the name uncultured bacterium. RNAcentral describes it as "partial 16S ribosomal RNA". It matches the Rfam family "Bacterial small subunit ribosomal RNA", at positions 28 to 507 of the family's 1533-position model. The record is from RNAcentral.
GACGAACGCUGGCGGCGGGCUUAACACAUGCAAGUCGAACGGAAAGGCCCUGCUUGUGCCGGGUGCUCGAGUGGCGAACGGGUGUGUUACCUGGGAGUAUCCUGCCCUUGACUUUGGGAUAACUUCAGGAAACUGGGGCUAAUACCGGAUAGGUGCUCCUGCUGCAUGGUGGGGUUUGGAAAGCUUGGGCGGUUGGGGAUGGACUCGGGGCUUAUCAGCUUGUUGGUGGGGUAGUGGCCUACCAAGGCUUUGACUGGUAGCCGGCCUGAGAGGUUGACCGGCCACAUUGGGACUGAGAUAGGGCCCAGACGCGUACGGGGGGCAGCAGUGGGGAAUCUUGCACAAUGGGCGGAAGCCUGAUACAACAACGUCGCGUGUGGGAUGAAGGCCAUGUGGUUGUAAACGGCUUUAGCCUGUUACGAAGCGUGAGUGACGUUAAUGGGUAAAGAAGCACCGGCUAACUACGUG